CCAGGGUAAGUCGGGACCUAAGGCGAGGCCGACAGGCGUAGUCGAUGGAUAACCGGUUGAUAUUCCGGUACCCGCUGUGAAGCGUCAAACAUCGAGCAUCGUGAUGCUAAGGCCGUGAAGCCGCCCUGAUCUCUUCGGAGUUGAGGGGAGUGGUGGAGCCGCCGGACCAAGCGGUUAGUAGGUGAGUGAUGGGGUGACGCAGGAAGGUAGUCCAGCCCGGGCGGUGGUUGUCCCGGGGUAAGGGUGUAGGCCGCAAGGUAGGCAAAUCCGCCUUGCACAUGGCUGAGACCUGAUGCCGAGCCGAUUGUGGUGAAGUGGAUGAUCCUAUGCUGUCGAGAAAAGCCUCUAGCGAGUUUCAUGGCGGCCCGUACCCUAAACCGACUCAGGUGGUCUGGUAGAGAAUACCGAGGCGUUCGGGUGAACUAUGGUUAAGGAACUCGGCAAAAUGCCCCCGUAACUUCGGGAGAAGGGGGGCCACACCCGGUGAAGGAACUUGCUUCCUGAGCUGGGGGUGGCCGCAGAGACCAGCGAGAAGCGACUGUUUACUAAAAACACAGGUCCGUGCGAAGCCGUAAGGCGAUGUAUACGGACUGACGCCUGCCCGGUGCUGGAACGUUAAGGGGACCGGUUAGUCACUCUUCGGGGUGGCGAAGCUGAGAACUUAAGCGCCAGUAAACGGCGGUGGUAACUAUAACCAUCCUAAGGUAGCGAAAUUCCUUGUCGGGUAAGUUCCGACCUGCACGAAUGGCGUAACGACUUCUCGACUGUCUCAACCAUAGGCCCGGUGAAAUUGCACUACGAGUAAAGAUGCUCGUUUCGCGCAGCAGGACGGAAAGACCCCGGGACCUUUACUACAGUUUGAUAUUGGUGUUCGGUUCGGCUUGUGUAGGAUAGCUGGGAGACUUUGAAACGCGGACGCCAGUUCGUGUGGAGUCGUCGUUGAAAUACCAGUCUGGUCGUGCUGGAUGUCUAACCUGGGUCCGUGAUCCGGAUCAGGGACAGUGUCUGAUGGGUAGUUUAACUGGGGCGGUUGCCUCCUAAAGGGUAACGGAGGCGCCCAAAGGUUCCCUCAGCCUGGUUGGCAAUCAGGUGUUGAGUGUAAGUGCACAAGGGAGCUUGACUGUGAGACCGACGGGUCGAGCAGGGACGAAAGUCGGGACUAGUGAUCCGGCGGUGGCUUGUGGAAGCGCCGUCGCUCAACGGAUAAAAGGUACCCCGGGGAUAACAGGCUGAUCUUCCCCAAGAGUCCAUAUCGACGGGAUGGUUUGGCACCUCGAUGUCGGCUCGUCGCAUCCUGGGGCUGGAGUCGGUCCCAAGGGUUGGGCUGUUCGCCCAUUAAAGCGGUACGCGAGCUGGGUUUAGAACGUCGUGAGACAGUUCGGUCCCUAUCCGCUGUGCGCGUAGGAGUCUUGAGAAGGGCUGUCCCUAGUACGAGAGGACCGGGACGGACGAACCUCUGGUGUGCCAGUUGUUCUGCCAAGGGCAUGGCUGGUUGGCUACGUUCGGGAGGGAUAACCGCUGAAAGCAUCUAAGCGGGAAGCCUGCUUCGAGAUGAGGACUCCCACCCCUUUGAUGGGGUAAGGCUCCCAGUAGACGACUGGGUUGAUAGGCCGGAUCUGGAAGCCAGGUAACUGGUGGAGGUGACCGGUACUAAUAGGCCGAGGGCUUGUCCUC
RNAcentral lists this ribosomal RNA (1674 nucleotides) under Streptomyces sp. HGB0020. RNAcentral's name for it is "bacterial LSU rRNA". It matches the Rfam family "Bacterial large subunit ribosomal RNA", at positions 1374 to 2925 of the family's 2925-position model. Lineage: Bacteria; Bacillati; Actinomycetota; Actinomycetes; Kitasatosporales; Streptomycetaceae. The record is from RNAcentral.